Molecule: ribosomal RNA, 450 nt
Filed under: Campylobacter gracilis
Lineage: Bacteria; Pseudomonadati; Campylobacterota; Epsilonproteobacteria; Campylobacterales; Campylobacteraceae
Description: bacterial SSU rRNA
Rfam family: Bacterial small subunit ribosomal RNA
Source: RNAcentral
AGUGAACGCUGGCGGCGUGCCUAAUACAUGCAAGUCGAACGGAAUUUAAGAGAGCUUGCUCUUUUAAAUUUAGUGGCGCACGGGUGAGUAAUAUAUAGCUAAUCUGCCCCUUGCCGGAGGACAACAGUUAGAAAUGACUGCUAAUACUCCAUACUCCUUUUUACCAUAAGAUAAAUCGGGAAAGAAUUUCGGCAAGGGAUGAGACUAUAUCGUAUCAGCUAGUCGGUGGGGUAACGGCCUACCGAGGCUAUGACGCGUAACUGGUCUGAGAGGAUGAUCAGUCACAUUGGAACUGAGACACGGUCCAAACUCCUACGGGAGGCAGCAGUAGGGAAUAUUGCGCAAUGGGGGAAACCCUGACGCAGCAACGCCGCGUGGAGGAUGACACUUUUCGGAGCGUAAACUCCUUUUGUUAGGGAAGAAUAAUGACGGACCUAACGAAUAAGCACC